UUGGAGGGCAAGUCUGGUGCCAGCAGCCGCGGUAAUUCCAGCUCCAAUAGCGUAUAUUAAAGUUGUUGCAGUUAAAAAGCUCGUAGUUGAAUUUCGGAAUUUUUUUAUCGGUUGAACCAACAGGUUCGUACUGAUUUUAAGAAUUUCUACCUUCUGAAGAACCUUAAUGUCAUUUAUUUGGUGUUUUGGGGAACCAGGACUGUUACCUUGAAAAAAUUAGAGUGUUUAAAGCAGGCUUAUGUCUGAAUAUAUUAGCAUGGAAUAAUGAAAUAGGACGGCAUGGUUCUAUUUUGUUGGUUUCUAGGAUCACCGUAAUGAUUAAUAGGGAUAGUUGGGGGCAUUAGUAUUCAAUUGUCAGAGGUGAAAUUCUUGGAUUUAUUGAAGACUAACUUCUGCGAAAGCAUUUGCCAAGGAUGUUUUCAUUAAUCAAGAACGAAAGUUAGGGGAUCGAAGACGAUCAGAUACCGUCGUAGUCUUAACCAUAAACUAUGCCGACUAGGAAUCGGACGAAGUUAAUUUUUUAAUGACUCGUUCGGCGCCUUACGGGAAAC
Molecule: ribosomal RNA, 551 nt
Filed under: uncultured Glomeromycotina
Lineage: Eukaryota; Fungi; Glomeromycota
Description: SSU rRNA
Rfam family: Eukaryotic small subunit ribosomal RNA
Source: RNAcentral